AUGCCGCCGUCCCCUCCCGCUCCCCGGCUCCUCCUCCUGCUCGCGUUAUUGAUCGCGUGCGCCGCGUCGGGGGUCGGCUGCUCGGGCCCGCGGUUCGCGCAGCUCGACCGCCUCCGCGAGCUCCACCAGCGGGAGCGCCGGCCUGCGGCCGAGCAGGUGGACGCCGCGCGCGGGCUCCUCGCGCGCCUCCUCCCCUCUCACUCCGCCAGCUUCGAGUUCCGGGUCGUCUCCACGGAGCAAUGUGGUGGAAAGGCGUGUUUCAUCAUCAACAACCAUCCAUCGUCUGAUGGAGAAGGAACUCCCGAGAUAUUGAUACUUGGAGCAAGUGGGGUAGAAAUUUCUACUGGUCUUCAUUGGUAUUUGAAGAACUAUUGCGCGGCACAUAUAUCAUGGGCUAAAACUGGUGGUUCACAAUUAUCAUCUGUUCCAUAUCCUAGCUCACUACCUCGUGUUCCUGCUGGUGGCAUUUUGAUUCAAAGACCUGUUGACUGGAGCUACUACCAGAAUGCAGUUACAUCCAGUUAUUCUUUUGCUUGGUGGGAUUGGGAGCGCUGGGAGAAGGAGAUUGAUUGGAUGGCUCUUCAAGGAAUCAAUUUGCCUCUAGCUUUCACUGGGCAAGAGACUAUAUGGCAGAAGGUUUUUCAGAGGUACAACAUUAGUAAAUCUGAUUUGGACAAUUUCUUUGGUGGGCCGGCCUUUCUUUCAUGGUCUCGGAUGGCCAAUAUGCAUGGAUGGGGUGGGCCUCUUCCUCAGACUUGGCUUGAUGAUCAAUUAACUCUUCAGAAGAAAAUCCUUUCUAGGAUGUAUGCAUUUGGCAUGUCCCCAGUUCUUCCAGCCUUUUCUGGUAACAUCCCUGCUGCACUGAAGUUAAAAUUCCCCUCAGCUAAAGUCACCCACCUUGGAAACUGGUUCACAGUUGACAGCAACCCACGGUGGUGUUGCACAUAUCUUCUUGAUGCAUCCGAUCCCUUAUAUGUAGAAAUCGGGAAGUUGUUUAUAGAAGAACAAAUCAGAGAAUAUGGUAGGACAAGUCAUGUAUACAACUGUGAUACUUUUGAUGAGAACACCCCUCCAUUGAGUGAUCCAAACUAUAUUUCUUCCUUGGGUGCUGCGACAUUCAGGGCAAUGCAAAGUGGUGAUGAUGAUGCUAUUUGGUUAAUGCAAGGUUGGUUGUUUACUUAUGAUCCUUUCUGGGAACCCCCACAAAUGAAGGCACUACUGCAUUCUGUUCCAGUUGGCCGAAUGAUUGUUCUCGAUCUGUAUGCUGAAGUAAAACCAGUAUGGAUCAAUUCUGAUCAGUUCUAUGGUGUUCCCUACAUCUGGUGCAUGCUUCAUAAUUUUGCUGCGGAUUUUGAAAUGUAUGGUGUCUUGGAUGCUGUUGCUUCUGGGCCUAUUGAUGCUCGACUAAGUGAAAAUUCCACGAUGGUUGGAGUUGGCAUGUCUAUGGAAGGUAUCGAGCAAAAUCCUAUCGUUUAUGAUCUUAUGUCAGAAAUGAGUUUUCAUCAGAGACAAGUGGAUCUUCAGGUAUGGGUUGAGACAUAUCCAACAAGAAGAUAUGGGAAAUCAGUUGUUGGGUUGCAAGAUGCUUGGCGAAUUUUGCACCAAACUCUAUACAACUGUACAGAUGGUAAAAAUGACAAAAACCGGGAUGUGAUAGUGGCGUUCCCAGAUGUUGAACCUUUUGUUAUUCAAACACCAGGAUUGUAUGCGAGAACUAGCAAAAAUUAUUCUACACUGGCAUCAGAGAAUUAUGUCGUGAAGGAUGCAUCCAAUGAUGCAUAUGAACAACCACAUAUAUGGUAUGAUACCGUUGCUGUUAUACAUGCCCUAGAGCUUUUCCUUGAAUAUGGAGAUGAGGUAUCUGACAGCAGCACCUUCAGAUAUGACCUUGUGGAUUUAACUCGCCAGGCUCUAGCCAAAUAUGCGAACCAAAUCUUUCUGAAGAUCAUCCAAGGCUACAAAUCAAACAACAUAAACCAAGUGACCACCCUGUGUGACCGCUUCCUAAACCUUGUUAAUGAUCUUGACAUGCUGCUAGCCUCUCACGAGGGAUUUCUGCUUGGGCCUUGGUUAGAAAGUGCGAAGGGCCUUGCACGAGACCACGAACAAGAGAUACAGUAUGAAUGGAAUGCCAGAACCCAGAUUACAAUGUGGUUUGACAACACCAAUACAAAAGCAAGCUUGCUACGCGACUACGCAAACAAGUACUGGAGCGGCCUGCUGUGGGACUACUACGGGCCAAGGGCCGCCAUCUACUUCAAGCACCUGAUAUCAAGCUUGAAGAAGAAUGAACCUUUUGCGUUGGAAGAAUGGAGGAGGGAGUGGAUUAGCCUCACCAACAACUGGCAGAGCGACAGGAAGGUCUUCGCGACCACAGCCACCGGAGACGCCCUAAACAUCUCCCGGACCCUGUACAUAAAGUACCUGCGCAACACCGAUGCACUUGGGCUAGAUGGUAUGGACUCGUUUGGAAAGCCUGCAAGCUUGUAA
This 2490-nucleotide ribosomal RNA is filed under the name Triticum aestivum (bread wheat). RNAcentral describes it as "partial small subunit ribosomal RNA". The record is from RNAcentral. Lineage: Eukaryota; Viridiplantae; Streptophyta; Magnoliopsida; Poales; Poaceae.